CCUUGAUACAUGUAUAUUUGACCAAAAAGAAAUCUUCUGUUUCUUACCACUACCUAUCCUUUAAAUUUUUUUGCAAUUUGUCUAUGUUUAUUAUUUAUGCCCAGGUUUUAUCAUCUGAAAGAUUCCAGAGAAGCCCAGUGAUCCUGAAGGGUACUGGCAGCCACAGUAUCUGAAAUGCUGUGUCUGAGGACCAUCUUCCCCUGACAUUGCAGAAUACCUAGGACAGAGCAACUGUUUCCAGGCCUACUCUUAUCACAGUCUCCUUGGGGACUUUUAAAAAUCCAGGCCUUUGGACUUAAUGAUUCAGAGUUUCUGGGGCUGGACACCUGCUAGCUCCGUGCUUCAGUCACUCCCCAGCAAAUAUCUUCCACUGAGAUCGUGUGGUUUUAAUCAUACAAGGAGAGUGGCAGAAGAACAGAAAGAUUGAAACCAAGGACAGAGAACACCUGAAAUUGGAAUGGCUUCAAAUGUUCAGUGGAAGUGAACAAGUUCUUGUAUUGUUUUCUCCUAUUCUCCUUCCAGCUUCAGGGUCAUAUGUCACAGCGCUGGGCAUUUCAUUUGGGUAUCUAUCAUCAUUCCCAUUCUGCAAUGAGGAAAUGCUGUCAGAGUGAUUAAGUAAUUUGCCCAUGGUCUCACAUAGAAGCCUGUCUUCUCCAGGGAACACAGCACUCAGAAUCGUCUCGGCCCCUGCAUAAGCCUGCAUGAGCCUGGGCUCUGGGGACCCAUCCUGGUGCAUCAUUCGUUGGCUCUGUGACAAUGGGCACAUCGUUUAACCUCUCUUGGCUUCAUUCUCCUUACUGGAAUGAUGGAGAGAGUUUUGCCUAUUUCAGAGGCUUGCUCUUCUAUACGUGAGCCUAUAAGUAACUUGUCUUAAGAAUUUCCACUCCUUCUGUACUCUGAUUUAAAUUUGAAGGCAUCAAAACAAAAACAAUCAAGAUUUCAGAUUCCAAAUACUUUCAUUUUCAUUUUUUAUUUUGAUUAGAAUUUCUUCUGAAUGAAUUUCUGUUUUGUAAUUUUAGCAUUGCCCUGAGGGGGGGAAAAGGCAGUUUAUCACCAUGCAGUAUAUUUUUCAGACAGCCUCUCUUUGACAAACUGAUUUUUGUCAGUCUCAACUGACUCACCAAUUCCAAAUCCCAGGGCUUCCCUGGGAAACUUCCUUGGAUCAUGGCUCUGCCACACAGGACCGACAUCCCAGAGGCCAAAGCAACCUGCUAUAAACUGAGAUCAUUGCUCAGCAAGCUGGUACCACAUGCAAGGAGUCUCAAGAGCUAACAGGAAAUGAUUCAAGACCAGAAUUACCCAGAACAAGUGUGUUAGCUUCCUCUGCGCAUGGGAUAAUAAGGAGCUUGCAUCACCAACCUUCCGUGAAUAGCCUACUCAGUGAUUCAACAGGUUUCAAAAUUGUGAAAUAAGGGAUGUCUCUUGCAUGGUGUACUUUAGAAGUCUCUACCUGAGGAUGAAGGAAGUACCCAGGAGUAGGCAUCAUUCCACUUUUGUACCAUCUUCCACUAUGUUUAUAUGGGUCCUCACUGAGAAAAAGGUAUUAAAAGUGAGAUGGAAAGAAUAGGUCAGCUAGGUGAAAAAUGGGAGGAAGAGACAGAAGGAUCUGGGUUACAAAAGGCUGAGACCAGGCCGGGCACGGUGGUUCACUCCUGUAAUCCCAGCACUUUGGGAGGCCGAAGCAGGUGGAUCACGAGGCCAGGAGAUCGAGACCAUCCUGGCUAACACGGUGAAACCCUAUCUCUACUAAAAAUACAAAAAAUUAAAAUUAACCGGGCGUAGUGGCAGGCACCUGUAGUCCCAGCUACUCAGGAGGCUGAGGCAAGAGAAUCGCUUGAACCUGGGAGGCAGAGGUUGCAGUGAGCUGAGACUGCACCACUGCACUGCACUCUAACCUGGGCAACAGAGUGAGACUCUGUCUCAAAAAAAAAAAAAAAUGCUGAGACCAAAGUAGCCUGGUGGCUUUGGGAAUGGAAGUCAAACCUGGUGCGUGGGGUGGAGUUCCUGUAGUUUUUAUUAUACUCUCAGAGUAAGGCAAGGUCAGUGAAGCAUUUUGAAGGGAAAGAUGGCAAAGUGGGUCCAUAUUUUUAAAAGCUCAUUUGAAUUGCCAUGUGGCAAUUCAAAUAGGAUAGGAUAAAGAAUAAAAGCAGAAAUGGAGAGAAUAAGAGAAAUGUGGCCGGGUGCAGUGUCUCACACUUGUAAUCCCAGCACUUUGGGAAGCCCAGAGAGCAGCAUCUCUUGAGUCCAAGAGUACAAGACCAGCCUGAGCAACAUUUCAAGACCCUGUCUAUACAAAAAUUACAAAAAUUAUCCUGUGGUUGUGCACCUGUAGUCCCAGCUACCCAGAAGGAUGACGUGGGAGGAUCACUUGGGCCUGGGAGAUCGAGGCUGCAGUGAACCAAGAUCAUGCCACUGUACUCCAGCCUGGGUGAGAGUGAGACCCUGUCUCAAAAAAGAGAGAGAAAUGUGGUCUCAACAAGCAUUAAGGGGAUGGUGGGAAAGGAUGAAAUUAAUGGAAGGAGUAGAGGGAAGUGCAAAGGAUGAAAUUAAUGGAAGGAGUAGAGGGCAGUGCAAAUGGGCAAAGAAUCUGUCUGAGGGUGAGGCUGUGCACAAAGUCCUUGGGAUAUAGCAAAACAGGUCAGUGAGGCAUGAAAUCAGAGAGGCAGGCUUUAUACAGACUUGUGGUAGUUGCAGGACGAGGGUUGGGGGGAAGUGGUUUGCAGACUGCUGUGAACUACAGACAUUUUUUAAGGAUAUCAAGAAGAGCCCCCUCAUUUUCUUCCUUACCCCCGCUGCCCCACUCCUGAUUCAUGGGCAGGUGAACCUAGCCCAUGAAGCAAUGCUGACCCAACCAUCAAAACAUGACACCAGCUUGCUGCCCAAUCCUCUGUGGACCAAACUGCAGUCAGUCACCAUGUACAAUACAAUCAAGCAGUAACACUCUGAGGUUCUCGAACGCCCCUUUACAGAGGGAACUUGGCAGGGAGUAGCCAUGUGUGAACAACAGGGACUCCCCAUUGUUCUGCACUGAUGAUUGAAUAGACUUCCUUGGUGGCCCAUGGAGACAGCUGUUUUUACUGAGGAACAUUUUGCCCUUUGAAUGUGAUUAGUAAGACAGAGAUGACUCUAUUCUUUAAAGGUCUCCAAUGACCAAAUUUGGCCUCUGAGAACUGGACCGAAACAUUUUGUGUGAGUCACGUCUGUUUGCCUCAUUUUCUGUCACUAGUUGUUAUGGAAACUACAUAGCACAGCCUGAGGGUUCAGAAUUCCUGAAGUUGGCCUCAAACUUAUGCAUAGUUUGUACAGCAAACAAGUUUGCUUACUUUGUUAAUCUUUAGCUACUUCCCAUCCUGCUCAGAUUGGAAGCGGAAGAGGUCAAUACUGCCUAGCGUCCACUCUGGUCUUUUCACAUGAAUCAAAAUAAUAGACUUGACCUUGUGUCCUGCCCUGAGGAUGGUACAGAUAUUUAAAAGAAUUCCAAAUCACUUCCUGGGUUAUCUGAUUGUAGGAUCAAAGUGGCCCCCUUGCUAACAUAAAAAUGAUACACAUGUGAAAAGAAUUUAAGACUUCUUCAUGCUGUCUUUUUUGGGUUCAUCCCAAUCUUUUGGCAAAAUCUCCAGCCAGAUCUUAAUGGCCACUGGGUUUACUCUGGGAAAUAUGCACUUUAGAGAGAUGUUUGACAUAUUUUUGUUACUUGAACUUCUUUGAGAUAUCUAUAGAUCUUUGAAACUCAGACACAAGAAAGUUUUAUGUCCAUGGUGCCUCCCGAUUAUUCAAAGAAAGGUGAUGAGUUUUAUGGCUUCUUCAGAAAGGAAUCUAAAUCAGACAGACCUGGAGUCAUAGUCUGGUUCUACCAUUUAAUAAUUGCUUGACUGAGUAAGUAAAUUACCUUUGUGAGCCUCUGUUAUCCAUCUACAAGACAAUGCUAUUAACAACUAUCCCAUGGGUUGUUAUGAAGACUAAGCAAAUUUAACAUGCAAAUUGCCUAGAACAGGUUUUUAUACAUAGUAGGCACUUAGCAAAUGUUAAUUUCCUUUCCUUUUCCAUUGCACUACCUGCUUUGUGGCCAUGUUGUUGACCAAUAGCACUUCCAGUUGCAGAUGAGCAGGAAUAGACAAAGAAUGUGGAAUUUUUAUAAAGUUCCAAUUAAGAGAGCCUGAAAGCCAUCCAGGUGUUCCUUCUAAACUUAGAUGUGUGAUUUAACAUGAGGAAGCCAUGUAACUUUUGUGCUGUGACCAUAAACUGAGAAGGCUGGAGCAUGUAAUCCUGAAGCCAGGCAUUUUAACUGAUGUAACGGAAGCAAUGUGUAUUUUUACUAUUAACUAAAAAGUGACUGGGGCAGGUCUCAAUCCAUAGAGAGGUAUUUUGCCAAGGUUAAAGACAUGCCUGGGGAAAUUUUAAGUCCCAAGAGUAUCUGUGACUUGUGUUUUUUUCCAAAAGGUGGUAAACCAAAAAUAAAAUUCUAAGCUCCACAGCCAUCAGAAUGAACCCCUCCUCUCAGCCAAGGGCAUUCCAAAGUUAACCUGAAAAACUGGUUCAGGCCGUGAUGUUCCUAUCAUGGGAGUCAGACAUGCCUCAUUAUACCUUCCUCCCUUUUGGAAUUCAGGCACAGCUGACUAGCAUUAACAUCAACACAGAGACCUUAGAACUGGUAAAACAGACUCUUUACGUCUGAUAAGAAACAUUUACAAUCUGUUCUUUCUGAAGCCUCCUACCCGGAGGCUUCAUCUGCAUGGUAAAACCUUGCUCUCCACAACCCAUUAUCAUAGCCCAGACAUUUCUUUCUAUUGAUUCCAGAUCUUUAGAUAAUAAUACAACCAAUCAGAAAAUGUUUGAAUCCACCUAUGACUUGGAAGCCCCCACUUUCGGUUGUCUUGGCUUUCUGGACCAAACCAAUGUACAUCUUACAUGUAUUGAUUGAUGCCUUAUGACUCCCUAAAAUGUAUAAAACCAAGCUGUAGCUGGCCACCUGGGGUACAGGUUGUCAGGAUCUCCUGGGAAUGUGUCAGAGGCCAUUGGUAACUCAUAUUUAGCUCAGAAUAAAUCUCUUCAAAUAUUUUACAGUUUGACUCUUUUUGUCGACAGGGAGCUUUUGGAACGUCAGUAAUAAAGGAAAAAAGCAAGCAGGAAGGGAAAAAAGAGAGGGAGGAUAGGCAGUGAGGCAGAUGGUGACAUUCUUGUGAGGCUCUGAUUAGCUUCAGUAAAUCUACAUUUUACAUAAGAAGAAGAGGGAGUAGGGGAAAAAGUCAAUGACGCAUUGUCCUGUGCUCAGUCAACUACAUUUGACAUAGCUAAAGUAACCGCAUGAAAAGAGGGAGCAGAGGAAAUGGGGCUAUGGCACAGGGUUGUGAAAUUACAGCUAUUUGGGAACAAAAGGAAAACAGUGUCCGUUCCCAAGCUUAACUUUCUCUUGUCAUAGUGUGUUUGGGGCCCCAAGAUUCUAUUUUCUUUCACACUACUAACCCCAAUGAAUAUAUGCUUUAUCUUUUAGAAACUGCACAAAAGAAAGAAAAAUGCAAGUUGGAGAAGAGACCAACAUGGAGCUUGUGCUUGCUCUCAUUAAGAACUCAAUCUCUUGAAAAAUCACAUUCUAAUAUUUCUAUGGGUGAGCACGGAUUUCACAUCAGCUCCCCAUAGCCUUCUUGGGUCCAUCAGUUCAUCACUUCUAGAAGUUGGCCACCUGUGAAGCCACUUAGGGGAGGUCACUCAUCACUGCUGGUGACAGUGGUGCUCUGUGUGUGAAUACUCAUGUUCAUACCCAUGGCAGGGGAUUUUCUCUCCAGGUUAAACAGUGUUGCUGUGUUUCCCUCUCUCUUCCAGUCUCACACGUUCAGGAAAAUUAAUCCCCAAAGUCCUCAUUCAUUAUUUAGCAAAUAUGUUCAAAUAGGAGAGAAUAUCAGCUUAAGUUUAAGCUAAGGCCCUCUGCUAAGGAAAUACAAAAUAUAUAUGUGAAAAGGAAAUUCUAGUUGAAGAACAGUAUGAAAACUCCCAAAAUGGGCUGGAGAAUUUGUGAUUACAGUCUUGAGAGAUCAUUUAAAAAUAGAAUCAGAUUAGCAAAUGCGUUCAGUGCUAGGUAGGGGAGUUAGUCAUAAAUCUAACAGGCUCUAUGUAGAGCCACUGAAGACAGACAUAGUUAAAACUCAAGUUGAUUUCUGUAUAUUAUUUUUAAUGACUUAGAAUUCAAUCCAAAAUUUGCUUAGUGUUAUUGUGUACCUUUAUGCAAAUAAUGUACACUUUCUAAGCAUCAGUUAUUCUUCUGUGAAAUUGGGAUAAUUUUACUUUUGUCAAGGGCUGCCCUGAGGAGUGAAUCAGAUGCUAUACGUAAGCUCAGUGGGUACAAGGCCUAAUAGUAGUGGCUUAAUGCGUGUACUCUUCUUCUUUUUCCUUAAUAGAAGAAUAAGGUGAAAUUAAAAACAAGGUUGAUAAUUACAUGUAUAUUUUAAUGAUUCAUCAAUCAAUAAAUGAUAACAUUAACAAUAAUUUUACUGUCAGUACUUAGAAGUUAAAAGGAGAAUGGUAAAAUCAGUCUGUUGAUCCUAAAAGUUUUAUUUUUUCUUUCAUCCUUUCAUAAAUUAUAUCUGAAUCUAGAUUACUGAAAUGCAACAAAUAAAAAUAUUUACAAAGCUAUCUUCUCUUUUAGUGAAUAUAAUGUUAUUAGAAAAUAACGGUUACUUCAUUAUUCAACAUUCAAUGUGUCUUCUGACUUUCUUACUCCAAUUUAUAUAAAAAAUUUUUAGAAUUUUUAAAUAACAAUGUUAUUGACAUAAAAUUCACAUACCCUGCAAUUUGCUGAUUUAAAAUGUAAAUGAAAUUAUUUUUAGUAUAUGCACAGAGUGAUACAGCCACCAUCGCAAUAAAUUCAAGAACAUUUUAUCGCCUAUCAAAAAACCCUCAUCUCCCUAUAGUCACUCAGCUUCCCUGCCUCACUUCCACAACUCUAGGCAACCACUAAUCUAAUUCCUGUUUCUAUAGGUUUCUCUAUUCUGGACUUUCACAUAUAAGGAAUCAUAUAAUAUGUGGUCUUUUGUCUCUGGCUUCUUUUACUUAGCAUCAUGUUUUCAAGGUUCAUCCAUGCUGAAGCAUGGGUCAGGACUUCAUUCUUUGUAUUGCCAAAUAAUAUUCCAUUGUAUGGAUGCACCACAUUCUAUUUACCCAUUCAGGAUUUAAUGUACAUUUGAGUUGGUUUCCAAAUUUUGGCUAUUGUGAAUAAUGCUGCUAUAGAAUUACAGAAUUUUAGAAGGUGCCAUAUGGCUUAUGUGGCCCGUUCCUCUCCAUUUACAGAUAUGCUAAUGAAGCAUCACAAAAGUGGGGUGAAUAGCCUAUGUCUCAGUGCUUCUCAGUAGCAAAACAUUAACUAGAACCCAGUUCUUGUAAUUAUUUUAUAACUGCCAUUCCCAUCUCUACCAAUAGUUUGCAAGGUUUUAGAGGGACGGCCUUGCACUAACAGUUAAAAUGGAUUAAGUAGCAGAUAUGAGCCAGUCUCUGUAUCCCCAGCAAUAUACAGUGUAGUGGAAUAUACAACACGACUUGGUGAUUGGGUCUGAUUCUAUUAAUCUCUGAAAGACUUAUCCUAGUGCAGAGCACGUAGUGAGCAUAUAAUAGGAAAUUGUGUAACUAGUAUGUUGGAAGAGCUGAAGUCAUGGGGUAUAAGCAUGCAAGCAACUUAAUGUUUGAUUUUUAUUUUCCCUUUAAGCCAUUCAUUGUGGUAGUUUUUUUGAAAUAAUCCUAGAUAAAAAUUUGGAUAGGCCCCAAUAAAUUAAAAGCCCUAGAAUCACAUUAUGUCACAAAACAGCUUUAAUUCAGUACUUAGAAUAGUAAACCUAUGUAAGAAUGAAAGGUUUCAUCUUCACUGAAGUAGAGUCUUCUCUCGUGCCUAAGGCUCACAGCCAGCCAGCAACAUGCAAGGGCUGGGGAGAUAAGGUACAAGAGGAGCUGGUGAGGCCUAAUAAAAUGGAUGCUGUGACAAGAUGGGCCUGUGUUCUCUAGACCUGGCCAGUUGUUACAACCUGUUUCUUUCAUGGCUGCUUUUAUGGGUUCUUUAGAGUUUAUCUCCCCCGUCACUGGGUGGCUACAAUUCUCUUGACACGAAUGAUUUACACCUUUCUGGUUUGUCACUUUAUCCCUCCUUAGCUUCUAGGAAUACAGCAACCCUUCAGCCAGAUCACCCCUCCUGGUGGCCCUACUGGAAAGUUCUAGAUAUUCCUUUGUAUGAAUGGUCCACAUCUGGUUCCCUGGAAAUUCUCAUGCACCCUUUGCCCUCCAAGGGCCAAAUCCAGUGUAGCCUUGCUUCUACUCAUCUUUCAGCAGCAGGGAAAUAUCCUUAUUCCACCCUUCCUCUUUGUUAAACCAGUCAAGUCUGUCCCUCUUCCCACCCUGCUAAAUACUUCAGACCACACAUAUUCUGUCCUCUGAUCAGUUUCCUUCAAGUUCCUCUCUUGACUUGAGAUGGUGAGAAAUAUGUCCUCCCACUUGGAGUGUUGAUGUGUUUAGGGGAGGGGACAGAACUCACAUCACAGCUCUCUCUCCAAGUAAAUAUUCCUGAACAUUCUUUCUGAAGCUUUUGUACUUUAGAUAUAGAAGAGGAGUUCAGCAGUCAGGGAACUGCUUUUUAUUAAAAACAAACAAACAAAACCUAAAACAUUUGACACUUUGCAUUUUGGUCUGUAGCCUUACUUUAGAAUAUCAUAUCUAUUAUAUCUUGGUCUCUCAAAUGUAAUUUACAAUUUAAUGUCUGGUUAUACUUUGAAAUUGUCUAGAAGGCAGGGUAUUACAAUAAAAGGAACAUUGACUUAGAGUGAUACUAGCUAUCAUGUGUGGAACUCUAUACCAGACACCAUGCUAAUUUAUUUAUUUAUUUAUUUAUUUAUUUAAGAUAGUGUCUCACUCUGUCGCUGGGCUGGAGUGCAGUGGUGUGAUCUCAGCUCACUGCAACCUCUGCCUCCUGGGUUCAAGCGAUUCUCCUGCCUCAGCCUCCCAAGUAGCUGGGAUUACAGGCACCUGCCACCCCUGGCUAAUUUUUGUAUUUUUUAGUAGAGACGGGGUUUCACCAUGUUGGCCAGGCUGGUCUUGAACUCCUGGCCUCAAGUCAUCUGCCCUCCUUGGCCUCUUAAAGUGCUGGGAUUACAUGCAUGAGCCACCACACCUGGCCCAAAUAAUUUAUUAACAUUAUCUCAUUAAUCUCUUUCAACAACUCAAUGAUAGAGCUAUUUUGAUCUUCAUUCAAUAAAGCAGGGACUUAAACCUUCAAAAGGUAUCAUCUAGAAUGGUGUACUAAAGGUGUAGUUUAUUUGGGUGCUUUCAACAGGAAGAAACAGAGCAAUCGCACACCCUUAAAUGGCUUCAACAACAGAAAGCAGCACUAUUUUACAUAGUAGUUAACCCAGAGAUAGGGGCCAUGCCAGUGCUAGUUAAUCUGACGGCUCAAGGAUGCGUCAAGCACCUGGGUUCUUUCAAUCUUUUGGUUAUGCAUCCUUGGUAUUUAAGCCUGUCCUAGGCUAGUUCCUUUUGCUAUCACAUGAUGGUUGCCACAUUUCUAGAAAUCAGAUCUAGAUGAGACAAUGCUUAGAAUAAUUGUUUCUCCCUUUUAGUAAAACUCUUCCUAAAUCUCACCAUGAGUGCCUGAACAAAAUGGAAUUCUGCAACAAGGAAGAAAAAGGAGGAUAUACUCUAGGUGUAGAGUUGACGACUGGUUACAGGGGUUUAAGUAACUGGACUUAAGUGGUUAAAGGAGUCUUACCUUCUCAGUUCCUUAGUUCCUUCACCUGUAAAAUCAGAGUUUUGUGUCCUGGUGAUUGUCUAUUUGCUUUUUUAUUACAGCAAAGCUGAUGGUACUUUAUGGUAUCCUUUAAAAGAAGUAAAUAUUUAAGAGUAUGACUUUUAGGUCAUUAACAAGACUGGAUCAUUGUCUUGAAAGUAAAAACACCCACAUUUCAAUUAUUGUUAGUUUUUUGUUCUUUCAGUGAUAAAUCACCAUAUAAUGUUAUGGAAGAGUUACUCAGGAGCUUCGAAUACUUAUCUCUAGAGGCAGCAGAUGUUUGUUUGUUGUAGAUGAAAUAAAUCUCCAAAGUAGACAGAUUUAUCUGUCAAUCAAUAUGGGCAUAUAGAGAGUGAGGAGACAGUGGACCUAGGCAGGCUCACACUGGCUGACCAUCACCCAGGUCAGUUGCCACACUCGUUCUGCAACUUUGAAAGGAACACACAAAGCACAGCCUCAUGCACAGCCAGUGAACAACUGGGCUCAGAUUAUCUGCGGACGCUAUAGUUUAUUUAUUUAUGUAUUUUCUCUUUUUUAGACAAGGGCUUUCCCUGUUGUCCAGGCUGGAAUGCAGAGGUGUGAUCCUAGCUCAUUGCAGCCUCAACCUCCUGGACUCAAGUGAUCCUCCCACCUCGGCCUCCCAAGUAGCUGGGACCACAGGGGUGUACCACCAAGCCCGGCUAAACUCAUUAUGUUGCCCAGGCUGGUCUCAAACUUCUGGCCUCAAGUGAUCCUCCCACCUCGGCAUCCCACAGUGCUAGAAUCACAGAUGUAAGCCACCACACUGGUCCAAGUGCAGUUUAGAUUGUUGCUCAUGCUGUUAGUCAUUUCUGGUUUUGGUUAACUUUUAUUUGUUUUAGACAGUGUCUUGCUCUGUCACCUGGACUGGAGUGCAGUGGUGUGAUCUCAGCUCACUGCAACCUCUGCCUCCGGGGUACAAGCGAUUCUCCUGCCUCAGCCUCCCAAGUAGCUGGGAUUACAGGUACCUGCCACCACACAUGGCUAAUUUUGUAUUUUUAGUAGAGACAGGGUUUUUACUAUGUUGGCCAGGCUGGUCUUGAACUCCCCUGACCUCAAGUGAUUGGCCUGUCUUGGCCUUCCAAAGUGCUGGAAUUUACAGGCGUGAGCCACCAUGCAUGGCCUCAAAUAGUAUUUUCUAAUAGUAUUUUGCACCUUUAAAAUAUUUGUUCAAACUCUAUUUUAGGCUAACCUUUGAGUACAUAGAGAUGUUUGCUCUAUUGCAGAUCUUGCUCUAAAGUUGAUCUUUCUUCCAAGCUCCUGACUUUUAUAUGAAGCUGAAGAUUCCCUAAUUAUACUUCCAUAGCUCAGGAAAAUAACUUUCAGACUUAUCCAAAAUCAAGCUCUUAAUCCUAACUGGAAGUUUUCAAUACCUGCUUAACACUCAGUUCUCAAUUGUAUUUUCUCAGAGAAGUUUCCCUCACUGUCCUGGUCUAAAUGAACUCACUCUGUUGCAUCCUCCUUCUCUCUCAUGAUGUUUAUCACACCAUGCAAUUAUAUAUUCAUUUGUGUGCCUCCUUGCUCAGUGUUUCACACUUCACCAAUCUGUGCAUAUCAGGAGGGUAGUGACCAUGUCUCUUUUGUUCACAAUUACAUUACUUGGCACAGUAUACAGUAGGUGUUCAAUAAGUAUUGUGGAAUUCAUGAAGGAUACUGCACCAUGUUUCAGAAGUUUGAAGAUGCUAGUUUUAUUAUAUCUGAAGAAACCCACCACCUUAUGCAAAAAGAAAUUACUGGGAUGCUUUAAUAUCUAAAACAUCUCUGCUGAAAGAGUCUUGUUUGUUGAAUGGAUUUAGAAAGAGAUAAAACAUUUGAUAGUGAAGAAAUGUUAUAGUAUACUGUCUUUAAUUCCUGGAUUAAAAUUUGAUAUGUUAAGAGAAGUCCAGGGUAAUAAUAGACAAAAAUUACUAGAUAACUCAAACAAAAUGUACUUGAUAUUCACUUAUCAUGAAAUACAGGUUUGUGGACUAGAUUUCUUGCUCAUUAGGAAUAUUAAAGAUCUUCAACUUCCCUUUUUUUGACAAAUUAGCAAGUUUAUGUCCAAAUAGGUUACUUGGUUUGCUCUCUACCAAUGUCACAUUGUAUAGGGGACACUAAUCACUGGUCUUCUAAUUCCUAGUCUGGUAUUUAUUUCAUUUUGUAAUUAUUUUUUAAAAGUUAUGAGGACCAUAAACAUAUUAUUUUGUGACAUAAUCUUAGCAAAAGGGCAAAGAAAGAAACUUUCAGGAUCUUAUUGUUAAGUAGUUGGAAUUUUUAAGUAACUUAUUUUACUAAAAUUUCUCUAAUUCAUAGUAACACUUAUUUCUUUAUUUCUUCAGAAAAAAACGUUGUUGUGAACGUUGGUCAUCCAUAAAAUAGAAUAUUAUUUAGUGAUAAAAGAAAUGAACUAUCAAGCCAUAAAAAAAAGUUCAAGAAACUGAAGUGUAUAUUGCAAAGUAAGCGAACCCAAUUGAAAAGGCUAUAUACUAUAUGAUUCCAACUUUAUGACAUUCUGGAAAAGGCUAAACUAUGGAGACAGUGAACAGAUUAAAAAAAACAAUGGUUACCAGGGUAUGUAGGGGAGGGAGGGAUGAAUAGGUAAAACACAGAAGAUAUUUAGUAUAGAGAAGCUAUUCUAUAUAAUGGUGGAUACGUCAUUAUACAUUUGUCAAAACCUGUAAAAUUUACAACACUAAGAGUGUGAACCCUAAGGUAAACUAUAGACUUUGGGUGAUAAUGAUGUAUCAAUUUGGUUAAUCAAUCAUAACAAGUGUACCACUCUGGUGGGGGAUAUUGAUAUUGGUGGAGGUUGUGCCUGUGGGGUCAGGAGGCAUACAGGGACUCCAUACUUCCCACUCAAUUUUGCUUUGACCCUAAAACUGCUCUAAAAAUAAAAUCUAUUUAUUAAAUGUGAAUAAAUAAAUAGGUAGGUAAGUAGGUAGAUAGAUGAUAGAUAAAUGUUGCUCAUUCCUUUUAUUUUCAUUAGUGAUGGUUCCCACUGUGCAAACAAUUUGUGGAGUGCCCUGCUUUAGAUAGCAAUAGGCAGUGUGGCACGGCAAGGCAUCAAGUCAAACCAGGGUCAGCACUUGGGUUCUGCAGGCUGCACAUUGCCUGCCAUGGUGAACGUGUCCCUCCAAAAUUCCUAUUUGAAAUCCUAACUUUCAAGGUGAUGGCAUUAGGAGAGGAGAUUAGGUCAUGGGGGCUUUGUUUUCAUGAAUGAAAUUAGUGAAAAGAGGCCUGAGGGAGCACCCUUGCCCUUUCCACCAUGUGAGGACACAGCAAGAAGACGGCUGUCUGUGAACCAGGAAGCAAGUCCUCAGCAGACACUGAGUUUGCUGGCACCUUGUCUUUGGACUUCCCAACCUCCAGAAAUAUGAGAAACAAACUUCUCUUAUGUAUAAACUACUUCACUUAUGGUACUUUGUUAUGGCAAUCCAAAUGGAUGAAGACUCUGCCCAGGCUUAUGGGCACCAUCCACAUAGACUAGGAUCUGAUUCUCCUUUGAGUUGUAACAUAGCAGCCCUCAUUCGAGUCCAUCCUCCCUUAGAAAAUUGACUGUGACUUUGGUCAAUAAAUUUAAGCUUUUUGUAUAUUUGGCAUUUCAUUUCCUAUAAAAUUGAGAUCAUAACAUAUACUUCAUAAAGUAUACAAAAAUAAUAUCCCAGAGGAAUAAUUUCUGCUGGGGGCAGAGACCUAUUAAGUGUGGCCUGCUCUAAAGGUUGUUAGAAAUGUUAUUUAUCCAUUACGGCAAAUCCUUCAGGUUUCCUCCUUAGGCUGGACUUUGGAAUCUUCUUGGAAGAUGAGGUUCUUCUUCAAUUCUUCAAUUAAAAAAAAGGCUAAGUUUGAUGAACUACAACAUCAGGAAUAAAAACAGGAAACAAUAUUCCAAGUGUGAUUCCAUCUACCAACGUAGAAGUAUGGACUACAGGCCAGAAUUCAAGAUCUCUAAGCCAUGCUCCAAUUAUCCAUAUUUGUUACUUUUGAUAUUUUCUGUUGCUUUUCCUUUUAGGGUGUAGCAGUUAAAACUUUCACUCUAAAAGUGCUCAGUGCCUGCCUUAGGAGAUACUGAGCACAUCACAGCCCAUCUUGGAAAAACAGACCUGUAAGGAUUUGAAUAGAUGGCAGUAGCCUAAAAAGAAGGGAAGGGAAGCAGGCUAAUGACCAGGAGGUGAUUUCUGUAGCGUGGGAGGAAAAAAAAGUUAUUGUUAGCCAUCCUGGUUCCAAGGGGAAAAGGGGCCGCUGCUGCCUAAGUAAAUUGCCUGACAGUGAGGCUCAAGAAAGAAUUUCCUUUCCUAGGGAGACAGUAUUAUUGGAUCUCUUAGGAAUUGCUUUCUUUCUUCCUGAUUGAAUUAUUCUUAAAUACAAGGUGUAUCUCCUUGUUUGAGUAAUAAUGCAAAUGCUGUUUUAUAUAAACUGUCUUCCCUUGACUCAUCAGAAAAUAAAACAGAAUCAUGGUAUCUAUAAUCCAGUGGCAAAUAUUUUAGAAAAAAACUAAUCUAAAUGGAAGGUAGCCUCACUGACUAUUUAGAGCCUAAUUCUUUUUUUUUUUUUUUAAUUUUUUAUUUUCUUGAGACCGAGUCUUG
This 14334-nucleotide long non-coding RNA is filed under the name Homo sapiens (human). Its description in RNAcentral is "HSALNT0135820". Lineage: Eukaryota; Metazoa; Chordata; Mammalia; Primates; Hominidae. The record is from RNAcentral.